GCCUUAGGUCGACCCGCUGAAUUUAAGCAUAUCACUAAGCGGAGGAAAAGAAACUAACCAGGAUUCCCCUAGUAACGGCGAGUGAAGAGGGAAAAGCCCAGCACCGAAGCCUGCGGUAAUUUUGCUGUUAGGCAAUGUGGUGUUUGGGUCGGCUCGCGGAAUUGCCACUCCACUCGAAGUCCAGCAUUGAGUAUGGUCACUGGAAUUGGCCCAGAGAGGGUGAAAGGCCCGUACGGGUGGAGGAUCAGACAUGUAAGGCAAUUCACCAGGCCGGCCUUAGAGUCGGGUUGUUUGAGAAUGCAGCCCAAAGUGGGUGGUAAACUCCAUCCAAGGCUAAAUACAAGCACGAGUCCGAUAGCGAACAAGUACCGUGAGGGAAAGUUGAAAAGUACUUUGAAGAGAGAGUAAACAGUACGUGAAACCGCAUGCAGGUAAACGGGUGGCGUCAAGCUGCGAACCCAGAGGAUUCAGCUGGCUAGGAUGUUGUGAUGCGCCUGGCGCAUCCAUCAGUCGGAAUAAGAUGUGAUAGUCCACUGGGAGACGGUGGGCCCGGCCGCAAGGCUGGGAUAUGUGUACCGGGUGUAAGCCGGAGCAUGCUAUUCAUCUGUUGGGCUGUCUAGUCAGUGCACUUUCUCUGUGGUGAACACCACGACCGGUGGAAUUGCCAGUCUGCUGUAGUCAAGUCUUGCUGAGAGGGUCCUUGUGGCCAACUUGGUAGGAUCACAGGCAAUGUCAGUGAACGGCGUAGGGGUGCCUUUGGUGUUCCUGCGUGUUAUCGGCUACUGCUUGUCAACGGGCCUACUUGGUGGUUGUUGUAACUGCCAUUGAGUGGUCUGGUGGGCUAUGGUGGUAAGAAAAACUGUGCAAGGCACCGGAGAUGUCGGCCUCAAAUGCGCUCUGCACUGGCAUGUUACAAGUGCGUGGGGGUGCCAUUGCGGUCUGCCUGUUGUUGAGUCUGAUUGUCGUGUCGCCUGCGCAAAGUGGGCCCGGCAGUGGCUUGACGCAGGAUGGGCUGUGGAUGGAAUCUCUCAGGUGUAGAGUGCGGUGGGCCCAAUAGUCAGUGGUGCUGUGGUAGACGAGCUACCCGACCCGUCUUGAAACACGGACCAAGGAGUUUAACAUGUAUGCAAGUCAAGGGGUCCUACGAAACCCAAAGGGGCAGUGAAAGUAAAGCUUAGAUUAGUUCUCGGAGUAAGGUGAGAUCCUGCCGUGACUCGCAUCGCUUGGUGCCAGCAUCAGGCAAAGAGCGGUAGGCGCAUCACCGGCCCGUCUCAUGAUGUGGUCAUUGGAUGUCUGCAGUCGUUGCUUGCAGCGGCUGCGGUGCCAGUGCGUCAUCGGGGCGGAGCAUGAGCAUACAUGUUGAGACCCGAAAGAUGGUGAACUAUGC
This 1387-nucleotide ribosomal RNA is filed under the name Nandocestus guariticus. RNAcentral's name for it is "eukaryotic LSU rRNA". It matches the Rfam family "Eukaryotic large subunit ribosomal RNA", at positions 16 to 836 of the family's 3401-position model. The record is from RNAcentral. Lineage: Eukaryota; Metazoa; Platyhelminthes; Cestoda; Phyllobothriidea; Phyllobothriidae.